GUAUAGGUUUAUAGGCACAAAGGCCAUUGAUUACAUUCUAUAACAUACAUUGGGGUAUAUGAAGAACAUAGGCCUGGAAAUGUAAGGACAGACAUUAAGUCAAUCCUCAAACCUGAGUGACUAGCAUUCAGAGAGAGAUCCAAGUCUACAAAAGGUGCACUGGUGGAGAUAUAAAGAUGACAAGUGUGCACAUGCUCCCUAGAGAACCAGCAGCAACUCAUCAGAUUUAUUUCAAUAAUGAUCCUUCCGCAGGUUCACCUACGGAAA
RNAcentral lists this unclassified non-coding RNA (267 nucleotides) under uncultured fungus. RNAcentral's name for it is "sequence contains ITS1". Lineage: Eukaryota; Fungi. The record is from RNAcentral.